Molecule: ribosomal RNA, 253 nt
Filed under: uncultured bacterium
Lineage: Bacteria
Description: partial 16S ribosomal RNA
Rfam family: Bacterial small subunit ribosomal RNA
Source: RNAcentral
UACGUAGGUGGCGAGCGUUGUCCGGAUUUACUGGGCGUAAAGGGAGCGUAGGCGGACUUUUAAGUGAGAUGUGAAAUACUCGGGCUCAACUUGAGUGCUGCAUUUCAAACUGGAAGUCUAGAGUGCAGGAGAGGAGAAUGGAAUUCCUAGUGUAGCGGUGAAAUGCGUAGAGAUUAGGAAGAACACCAGUGGCGAAGGCGAUUCUCUGAACUGUAACUGACGCUGAGGCUCGAAAGCGUGGGGAGCAAACAGG